AGCGGCGGACGGGUGAGUAACACGUGGGCAACCUGCCUGUAAGACUGGGAUAACUCCGGAAACCGGAGCUAAUACCGGAUAACUUUUCCUUGCAUAAGAGAAAAUUGAAAGAUGGUUUCGGCUAUCACUUACGAUGGGCCCGCGGUGCAUUAGCUAGUUGGUGAGUAACGGUCACCAAGGCAACGAUGAGCCGACCUGAGAGGGUGAUCGGCCACACUGGGACUGAAACACGCCCAAACUCCACGGGAGGCAGCAGUAGGAAUCUUCCGCAAUGGACGAAAGUCUACGGAGCAACGCCGCGUGAGUGAUGAAGGCUUCGGGUCGUAAAACUCUGUUGGGAAGAACAAGUACAAAGUAACUGCUUGUACCUUGACGGUACCUAACCAGAAAGCCACGGCUAACUACGUGCCAGCAGCCGCGGUAAUACGUAGGUGGCAAGCGUUAUCCGGAAUUAUUGGGCGUAAGCGCCGAGGCGGUUCUUAAGUCUGAUGUGAAGCCCACGGCUCAACCGUGGAGGGUCAUUGGAAACUGGGGAACUUGAGUGCAGAAGAGAAAAGCGGAAUUCCACGUGUAGCGGUGAAUGCGUAGAGAUGUGGAGGAACACCAGUGGCGAAGGCGGCUUUGGUCUGUAACUGACGCUGAGGCGCGAAAGCGUGGGAGCAACAGGAUUAGAUACCCUGGUAGUCCACGCCGUAAACGAUGAGUGCUAAGUGUUAGAGGGUUCGCCUUUAGUGCUGCAGCUAACGCAUUAAGCACUCGCCUGGGGAGUACGAGUCGCAAGACUAAACUCAAAGGAAUUGACGGGGGCCCGCACAAGCGGUGGAGCAUGUGGUUUAUUCGAAGCACGCGAAGAACCUUACCGGUCUGACAUCCUCUGCAACUCUAGAAGAUAAGAGCGUUCCCCGGGGGACAAAGUAACAGGUGGUGGCAU
This 931-nucleotide ribosomal RNA is filed under the name Bacillus sp. (in: firmicutes). RNAcentral's name for it is "bacterial SSU rRNA". It matches the Rfam family "Bacterial small subunit ribosomal RNA", at positions 94 to 1046 of the family's 1533-position model. Lineage: Bacteria; Bacillati; Bacillota; Bacilli; Caryophanales; Bacillaceae. The record is from RNAcentral.